Molecule: long non-coding RNA, 247 nt
Organism: Lolium rigidum
Lineage: Eukaryota; Viridiplantae; Streptophyta; Magnoliopsida; Poales; Poaceae
Exons: 3
Source: RefSeq, a predicted model, not a curated record
AGCUUGCAAAUUACUCGUCAGGCUACGCCCAGUCAGGGAAAGGGACUCUGAAAUUCCAGUUGAUCAACCAGCGGCAGGAUUUUUCCUUCGGAUUGUUCACCGGUGGAUUCUCAAAUCCAACACUCGUCGCAGUGUCGAACAAGAUUGCUUUCGCAAACCCGAAUGCUCCAGUUUAUCCCCGUUUAGCGCUUGGAAAAACAUGGAAUGAGAUGACUGUCACAUGGACAAGUGGCUAUGACAGCAGUGA